Molecule: ribosomal RNA, 451 nt
Filed under: uncultured bacterium
Lineage: Bacteria
Description: partial 16S ribosomal RNA
Rfam family: Bacterial small subunit ribosomal RNA
Source: RNAcentral
AACGAACGCUGGCGGCAGGCUUAACACAUGCAAGUCAAACGAACAUAGCAAUAUGUUAGUGGCAGACGGGUGAGUAACGCGUUGGACUGUGCCCUUUAGUUCGGAAUAACUCAGGGAAACUUGAGCUAAUACCGGAUAAUCCCGAGUGGGGAAAGAUGUAUCGCUGAAGGAGCAGCCCGCGUCUGAUUAGCUAGUUGAUGAGGUAAUGGCUCACCAAGGCGACGAUCAGUAGCUGGUCUGAGAGGAUGAUCAGCCACACUGGGACUGAGACACGGCCCAGACUCCUACGGGAGGCAGCAGUGGGGAAUAUUGGACAAUGGGGGCAACCCUGAUCCAGCCAUGCCGCGUGAGUGAUGAAGGCCUUAGGGUUGUAAAACUCUUUUAUCCGGGAAGAUAAUGACUGUACCGGAAGAAUAGGCCCCGGCUAACUUCGUGCCAGCCGCCGCAGUAA